Molecule: long non-coding RNA, 1127 nt
Filed under: Strigops habroptila (Kakapo)
Lineage: Eukaryota; Metazoa; Chordata; Aves; Psittaciformes; Psittacidae
Description: lncRNA (ENSSHBG00005000868.1)
Source: RNAcentral
CACACGCUCCCGGCGAUGGGUCUGGUGGACAUGCAGCGACCUUCGGCACCGAACUGCUCUCCCGCCGCCUCCGGAGCGACAAAAAAACCCAUCAAAUAUGGCUGUGCUGGCGGCUUCCCCCGGCUGGCGCGGCGGCGGCGGGCACGGUUACCUGCUGGCGGCGGCGGGGCGGCGGCGGCGGCGGCGAGGGCGGGUAGCGCGGCCGGGCUCCCCCUGCGCGGAGGGCUCGGGGCCGCCUCAUGAGUUCGGCGCGGCGCCGGGGAGCGGGCGCGGAGAGCGGCUCCCUGCGCCACACACACUACAGACACACAGAGACUCCCUCUGACUGACGUUUGUACUUGUUAUGGAGGAAGGACUCCGUGAAUCAAACUCGUUUCUGGGUCACUGCUGCCACAGGGGGGAGCUACUUUAAUCCCCUGCCAAAACUGGAAGGCGAGGAAAAGGGAGGGUGGGGGGGGAAUAAUAACCGCGUACCGCCAGGGAGGGGGCGGCCCCGCGGGAGCCGCCGUUAACUCUUGGCGGACCAGGACGGUCUCGCCGCCGGCACCACCCCCCCGGAAGGCUCCCGGCGACCUGCUCGGCCCCGGUUAUGCCCAUUUGGCCGGAGCGCGGGGGUGCGCGGCCGCCCGGCGCUGAACGCGUCCGAGCUGGUAUCGGAGCGGGCUCGCAGAGGAGGAGAGGAGCCGACGCCGCAGGGCUGGCAGCUGGGAAAUGAAUGGUGUCUGCGCCCAGGUCCCGCCCGUGGCACUGCUGGCGUUACCCUGCGACCAUUGCCUCUUCUCUCCCCAAAAUUCCAGCCGAUUUCACAACCAGGAAUUACAGUGCUGCACAGGCUCUCUGUGUGUAACGCACAAUGUGCUGAGUUUGAGGCAAAGAAACUGAGGCACCCAAGAGUUAAAUGGUGCGGCCGCAUACACGGUGAGUAAUUGCUAGGGCAAGAAUAAAACUGCGGGGUCCCCAUUCCAACCCCAGCGCUACCCCUCCAGCUCCCAACUUCGACGCUUCGCAAGGACAAGAAAGAGCUAACGCAUGCUGCGGUUCAGUUCACAUCUUUCUGGCAGGAAAGCAAAUUAUCUUAAAUUGGCACCAAAUUACAUACUAAAGUUCCCAUUAUUUAAAAAAAAAAA